CAACCACAGCAGCAACAAGCAAAAUCAACAGAAAUGGCAGUUCAAGCAACAAUUCAACAAUCCUCAUUGUCAAGUUAUAGUUACAAAUAUGCGGUGCCAUAAUUUCAGCAACAACAACAAAAUUCAUGCCAAACUUCAAAAAUCAUGGAUGCAGAAGAAGAAGAACUCGAUGCAAACUCAGAUUCAACAAACAAUUCCACAACAAAUUUGCAGAAUGUAUCAACAAUUUUAGAUCCAGAUUUUUAAUUCCACAUCCAAACAAAACCGCAUCAGAGAUAUCUUCUUCUAGGAACAAGUUCAACCGAUUUGAACACACAAGCAACCUAAAUAUCAAUUCUGCAAUCAGAUUUCCUGAUUCAGGGACCACUUACCUGUAUGCCGGAACGCAACCUUUUGAUGCCCGUGGUCAUCCGUGGCAGGGAACAAAUCCGGUCAAGGACGAAGCAGCAGCAGAUCUGACAACAGGUAGCGGCGCCGAGGACGGCACCUCCGUGAAGGGGGAGUAGAUGCUCGCGACGUCCUGG
Non-coding RNA from Arachis ipaensis, 524 nucleotides. The record is from RefSeq and is a predicted model, not a curated record. Lineage: Eukaryota; Viridiplantae; Streptophyta; Magnoliopsida; Fabales; Fabaceae.